UGAGCAAAGUUUCAAGUGUA
This 20-nucleotide microRNA is filed under the name Schmidtea mediterranea. RNAcentral describes it as "sme-miR-87a-3p". Its record names the gene sme-miR-87a-3p. Lineage: Eukaryota; Metazoa; Platyhelminthes; Tricladida; Dugesiidae. The record is from miRBase by way of RNAcentral.